CCCUACGGGGCGCAGCAGGCGCGAAACCUUUACAAUGUACGUAAGUGCGAUAAGGGAACUCCUAGUGCUCAUGCAAUGCAUGGGCUUUUGCCAAAUGUAAAGAGUUUGGCGAAUAAGUGGUGGGUAAGACGGGUGCCAGCCGCCGCGGUAACACCUGCGCCACGAGUGGCAAUCAUGUUUAUUGGGCCUAAAGCGUUCGUAGCCGGAUCAAUAAGUCUUGGGUGAAAUCGUUGCGCUUAACAAAACGACGUGCUUGAGAUACUGCUGAUCUAGGGACCGGGAGGAGUUAGGGGUAUUCCUGAGGGAGCGGUAAAAUGCUAUAAUCUCAGGAGGACCACCUGUGGCGAAGGCGCCUAACUAGAACGGGUCCGACGGUGAGGAACGAAAGCUAGGGGAGCAAACCGGAUUAGAUACCCGAGUAGUCCUAGCUGUAAACGCUGUGUACUAGAUGUUGCAUAAUCUACAUGGUUAUGCAGUGUCGGAGCGAAGGUAUUAAGUACACCGCCUGGGAAGUACGGUCGCAAGGCUGAAACUUAAAGGAAUUGGCGGGGGAGCAC
This 557-nucleotide ribosomal RNA is filed under the name uncultured archaeon. RNAcentral's name for it is "bacterial SSU rRNA". It matches the Rfam family "Archaeal small subunit ribosomal RNA", at positions 321 to 879 of the family's 1478-position model. The record is from RNAcentral.